This 476-nucleotide ribosomal RNA is filed under the name uncultured bacterium. RNAcentral's name for it is "partial 16S ribosomal RNA". It matches the Rfam family "Bacterial small subunit ribosomal RNA", at positions 28 to 523 of the family's 1533-position model. The record is from RNAcentral.
GACGAACGCUGGCGGCGUGCCUAACACAUGCAAGUCGAGCGAUUAAACCCUUCGGGGUGGAUUAGCGGCGGACGGGUGAGUAACACGUGGGUAACCUGCCUCAAAGUGGGGGAUAGCCUCCCGAAAGGGAGAUAAAUACCGCAUAACAUUAGUUUUUCGCAUGAAGAACUAAUUAAAGGAGUAAACCGCUUUGAGAUGGACCCGCGGCGCAUUAGCUAGUUGGGGAGGUAAAGGCUCACCAAGGCGACGAUGCGUAGCCGACCUGAGAGGGUGAUCGGCCACAUUGGAACUGAGACACGGUCCAGACUCCUACGGGAGGCAGCAAUGGGGAAUAGUGCAAAAAGGGCGAAAGCCUGAUGCAGCAACGCCGCGUGAGUGAUGAAGGCCUUCGGGUUGGAAAGCUCUGUCUUUUGGGACGAUAAUGACGGUACCAAAGGAGGAAGCCACGGCUAACUACGUGCCAGCAGCCGCCGUAA